GAAACUUCCUACUGCACUGCUCCCCUGAGUCACCUGACCCUGUGCCCCGGCACACUGCUGUCUCAGGGCUGUCCUUUCCCUGAUGUCAGGGUUUGAAGAAAAAGGGAAGUGAAGCCAUGCUGAGAGACGCUCCAUAACUCCUGCAGGGAGAGGCGGGGAGGGCUCAGGGUACCUGGGAGCCGGCAGGACAGCGGUGGGAUUUGGGGGUCCCAGGUCUUCCGGGGUGGGGGCAGCCACUCACCAGGAGUGAGGAGUCGGCGCGAGGAGUGGAGGAGGGAAGGGUGGUGGCAGCUGGGGAGCCAGUGUCAGCACUGCAGAGCCAGAAGUGGAGCAUGUCCAUGCAGAGCUGGGCAAACCUCCAUCAUCACUUGCCUGGUGACCCUGGGCACAUUCCCUCCCAUCACUGGAGGCUCAGGCUGCUCCUGUGGUGCCUGGGGCUGGAGCUGAGCACUGGGUACCUCCCUUCCCGGGGAGGGCUUGCCUGGCCUCUCAUGGUACCCCCAUCUUUCCCCAGCGCCGGCAUUGGCCGCACAGGCACCAUCAUUGUCAUCGACAUGCUCAUGGAGAACAUCUCCACCAAGGGCCUGGACUGUGACAUUGACAUCCAGAAGACCAUCCAGAUGGUGCGGGCGCAGCGCUCGGGCAUGGUGCAGACGGAGGCGCAGUACAAGUUCAUCUACGUGGCCAUCGCCCAGUUCAUUGAAACCACCAAGAAGAAGCUGGAGGUCCUGCAGUCACAGAAGGGCCAGGAGUCGGAGUACGGGAACAUCACCUACCCCCCAGCCAUGAAGAAUG
This 795-nucleotide small RNA is filed under the name Pongo abelii (Sumatran orangutan). Its description in RNAcentral is "retained intron". The record is from RNAcentral. Lineage: Eukaryota; Metazoa; Chordata; Mammalia; Primates; Hominidae.